ACUCUCCAUCAUUCACAAGUCACAAGAAAUAAAAUUGUCAUUCAUCUCAAACAAUUAACAUCUUUACAUGCAAAUGCCAUCAAAAGGACUUUUCCAAGGCUUGUAAUGAGGUUGAGUUAGCAAGAAAAAUUGGUUUUUCUGGAAAACAAAAUCCUUGAGUUAAGAGAGCUAUCAAGCAUUCAACAUUUAAGCACAACUCUCUUUCUCACCAAUCUCACUUAUUCCCAACUUCUUCCCUUUUCUUUUUCAUUGAACUCUUCUUCAUGCUUUUUCUUCUUUUCUUUUCUUUUUCUCAUGCAUUUUUCUUUUUCACAAUUAAGCUCAAUGUUUCUUAACAGCUUUUCAAUUUCCCCCAUGCAACCCCAAACUUGAACCUUUUCAUCACAUACAGUUAAGCUCAUCCCAACUCAAGGUAAAGAAUUUCAAGACAAGGGUUCACCUCCUGUUUAAGGCUAAGGUUCAAAAAGGGUAUAAUAUUUUAAGCUUUAUGGGUGAAAAUUUGGCUAGAGAAGGGUUUUCAAAAAUGGCCUUGAUCAUAUGACAUUCACAUGCAAUUCAAUCAAUCAUCAAGAUUCAGGAAAUAUCAUUCAUGUUUUCCUGUGAACAAUUCAUAUAAUCAUAAAAACUCUAGAGCUCAAUACCUCACACAACAUGCUUUCUCACACAAUAUUCAUACAUACACCCUGCUUAGCAUCAUAACCACAAUCAUAAUUCACUAUACACCUGUUUCACCGAAUAUCAACAUGCAACACAGCCUAAUUAUCAUCCACAUCAAUCAUCACCAAAUAAGCUCAUCAUGCAAAUUAGUCAGUCAAACAUUUUCAGAAAAGUAUUUAGGCCAAGCAUACACACUGAAAAUAAAAUUCAACCUAUUCUAAAAAAUUAAAAUGCAAAAGUAAAAGAGAGAACCUAGGUUGCCUCCUAGUAGCGCUUGUUUAACGUCACAAGCCUGACCCAAACCUGUUUGGCACUUGUCAGUAAGUGCAAUACCUUCCAACACCCAUCAGUAGGUGUGCCUUCCUGGAAUCCUUCAGUGGAUUCAAAAAUUUUAGCAUCCCUCAGUAGAUGUUAUCCCAGUAGCAUUCAUCAGUAAACGCCGUUAGUGACAUCCAUCAGUAAAUGUCUAACCAUAUAGCAUCCAUCAGUAGAUGCUAUCAUUACUACCAUCAGAAGCAGCACAUAACCCAAAAAUUAAAAAAAUUAAAUAAGAUAAAAUAAAAUAAAAUAAAAUCAAUUAAAAUCAAAUAAAAUAAAAUAAAAUCAAAUCAAAUCAAAUCAAAUCAAAUCAAAUAAAAUAAAAUAAAAUAAAAUAAAAUCAAAUCAAAUAAAAUAAAAUAAAAUCAAAUCAAAUCAAAUCAAAUCAAAUCAAAUAAAAUAAAAUAAAAUAAAAUCAAAUCAAAUCAAAUCAAAUAAAAUUAAAACGAAAUAAAAGAUAAAAAAAAAUUCAGAAACUGGGUUGCCUCCCAGCAAGCGCUCUUUUAACGUCAUUAGCUUGACC
RNAcentral lists this long non-coding RNA (1498 nucleotides) under Vigna radiata. RNAcentral describes it as "long non-coding RNA (VRAD_LNC012050)". The record is from RNAcentral. Lineage: Eukaryota; Viridiplantae; Streptophyta; Magnoliopsida; Fabales; Fabaceae.